Molecule: ribosomal RNA, 468 nt
Filed under: uncultured bacterium
Lineage: Bacteria
Description: partial 16S ribosomal RNA
Rfam family: Bacterial small subunit ribosomal RNA
Source: RNAcentral
GACGAACGCUGGCGGCGUGCUUAACACAUGCAAGUCGAACGGAAAGGCCCUGCUUUUGUGGGGUGCUCGAGUGGCGAACGGGUGAGUAACACGUGAGUAACCUGCCCUUGACUUUGUGAUAACUUCAGGAAACUUGGGCUAAUACCGGAUAGGAUCUCCUGCUGCAUGGUGGGGGUUGGAAAGUUUCGGCGGUUGGGGAUGGACUCGCGGCUUAUCAGCUUGUUGGUGGGGUAGUGGCUUACCAAGGCUUUGACGGGUAGCCGGCCUGAGAGGGUGACCGGCCACAUUGGGACUGAGAUACGGCCCAGACUCCUACGGGAGGCAGCAGUGGGGAAUAUUGCACAAUGGGCGGAAGCCUGAUGCAGCAACGCCGCGUGCGGGAUGACGGCCUUCGGGUUGUAAACCGCUUUCGCCUGUGACGAAGAGUGAGUGACGGUAAUGGGUAAAGAAGCACCGGCUAACUACGUG